Molecule: long non-coding RNA, 1783 nt
Organism: Acinonyx jubatus (cheetah)
Lineage: Eukaryota; Metazoa; Chordata; Mammalia; Carnivora; Felidae
Exons: 6
Source: RefSeq, a predicted model, not a curated record
AGUUUUGAAACGUGUCCCAGUGGCAACUAGAUAUUCUUGCUCUCCAGCUCUCUGCCGUCAUCCAUCUGCCUUGCAAAUUCACAACUCCGGGAACUUUCCUGACAGUUCAGGCUUCUUAUUCCAAAACUCAAGUCCAAACCUGAGAAAACGACUUACAGAGACAGAGCAGGGGAGGGGCAGAGAGAAGGAAAGACAGAAUGCCAAGCCGGCUCCGCACCGCCAGUGCUGUUUGUGAGAAGAAUGGGGAAAAGAGCAAUCCUGGCAGGGAAGCCAGCUUGGUGACAGGUGCUAUCCUCUUGCUGGAGACAGAGGAGUGAACACGUGUCUGUUCUCAAGAAGCUCCCAUUCCCAUGGGGGAGACACACGCUAAGCAACUUCUAUAGAAAAAUCCACCUUCAGGAAGAGUAUUCGUGGGUCACAGUGAUGCUUCUUUCCAUGACCUUGGAAAGUUUGGCCAUGCAGAGCAUGAGCUAUGGAGCUGGAGUACCUGGGCUUAAAACCAGGCAUUUCUAGCCCUGGCCUCACCGGCCGCAUGACUUGAGGCCUGACACUUAGUAGAGAGGAAAAUAUACAAAUGGCCAAUAAGCACAUGAGCACAUCAUUUGUCAUCAGGGAAAUGAAAAUCCAAACCACAAUGAGAUAGCACAUCACACCUACUCGUACAGCUAGCAAAAGAUGGGAUAAUAACAAGCCUUCAUGAGGAUCUGGAAAAAUUGGAGCCUUCCUACACUGCUGAUGGGAUAUAAAAUGGCAAAGCUGUUCUGGAAAAUCAUCUGACAGAUGCUGAUAAACUUCCUGCCUGCUAAUCUCCAUCUCAGAGUCUGCUUCCUGGGGACCCUAACCAGAGAUACCACUCAGACCUCAAAUCAGAGAUCUCCAACAUUAGGGCCUGGCAAUCUAUGGAAACAACAAUGAAGAAAUCUCCACUUACUCAUCCAACAAUUAUUUACUAAGGACCAAUUAUGAGCCAAGUUGCUUCCAGGCAUUAGGAAUAAAGCUGUGAAUAAGGCAAAUAUUUGCCUUCCUGGAGAGCUUUCUAGUGUGGGGGGCAGACAAAACCAAAUAACAAUAUGUCAGGCAGAGAUAUAUACUUGAAAAAAACAAAUCAGGUGAAAAGUUAGAGUUUCGAGAUAAGAGGAGCUGCCAUUGGGUGGUCAGGGAAGGCAUUUCUGAGGCAGUGACGUGGAGCAGAACCCUAAAGGAAGUCAGCAAUGCAAAGAUUCAGGGGAAAAGCAUUCCCAGCAGUCAACUAAAACAAAAAGGUCCAAGGUAGGAAGGAGCAUUGGGUUUUUAAGGAACAGUAGGGGGGCCAGAAUGGCAGAGUGGAGUGAGCACAGUGGCAGGUGAGAUCAGAGGCCCUGAAGCUGCCUUGUAUUUUGAGCACAGUGGGAAGCAUUCAAGGGCUUUGAGCUAGAAAGCAACAAGACCUGACUUAUGUUUAAAGACAUCACCCUGACUGCCAUGGGGGAAGAGUAGAAGCGGGAGACCAGUGAAGAUGCAUGGCAAAAGUCUAGGAGGGGGAUCAUGGUAUUUAGAACAGUGUGGAUGGGGUAAGAAGUAGCUACAUGUGGGGAUGUAUUUUAAAGUUGGAGUCUCAGGGGGUGCCUUAGUGGCUCAGUCAGUUAAGCAUUCGACUUCGGCUCAGGUCAUGAUCUCAUGGUUCAUGAGUUCAAGCCCUGCAUUGGGCUCUGUGCUGAAAGCUCAGAGUCUGGAGCCUACUUUGUAUUCUCUCUCUCUCUCUCUCUCUCUCUCUCUCUCUCUCUCUCUCUCUCCACCACCCCCC